AUGUUGCAAAAAACGAAGGACGACUGGGUCAGGUCUAUCCCCUAUCAGUUUUCGUAGGAAGUGUAUUGUACUUUCUAGACUAUGACGGGUAACGAAAAAUAAGGGUUUGAUUUCGGAGAAGGAGCCUGAGAGACGGCUACUACAUCUAAGGAAGGCAGCAGGCGCGCAAAUUUCCCAUUGCUUAUCAUAUAAUGUAAGCGAGGAAGUGACGAUCAAUAACAAUGUGUGACUCUUUAUGGGUUAUGCAAUUGGAAUGACUACAAUUUAAAGAGUUUAAGAAGGAUCAAUUGGAGGGCAAGUCUGGUGCCAGCAGCCGCGGUAAUUCCAGCUCCAAUAGGAUAUAUCAAAGUUGUUGCAGUUAAAAAGCUCGUAGUUGAAUUUCUGGAAGGUAGAAGUGUUUUCUUUAGAGAAGCAAUUUUUUAUGAAAGGCACCGCUUUCCAUUUUGUGGAUUUCUGUUUUGUAUGAAGAUAGUUUACUCUAUUUUUAUAUAAAAUACCACUCCGUCACUGAGAGCAAAUUGGAGUGCUCAAAGCAGGCUUUAUUAGCUUUGAACAUUUUAGCUUGGAAUGACAAGAUAUGACUUUUGUUUUAUUUUGUUGGUUAUGAAAUAAAAGUAAUGAUUAACAGGAACAGUUGCGGGGGUACUCGUAUUGAAAGGUCAGAGGUGAAAUUCUUGGAUUCUUUCAAGACGAACGACUGCGAAAGCAUUUACCAAGGAUGUUUUCAUUAAUCAAGAACGAAAGCUCGGGGAUCGAAGAUGAUUAGAUACCAUCGUAGUCCGACGCCAUAAACGAUGCCGACUCGGGGUUAUUUUGUUCGUUUAAAUUAAAAAGAACACAAAGUAGCACCGUAUGAGAAAUCAAAGUCUUUGGGUUCCGGGGGGAGUAUGGUCGCAAGGCUGAAACUUAAAGGAAUUGACGGAAGGGCACACCAGAGGUGGAGCCUGCGGUUUAAUUUGACUCAACACGGGGAAACUUACCAGGUCCAGACAUGAUGAGGAUUGACAGUUUGAAAGCACUUUCUUGAUUUCAUGGGUGGUGGUGCAUGGCCGUUCUUAGUUGGUGGAGUGAUUUGUCUGGUUGAUUCCGAUAACGAACGAGACGGGGUGAAUUUACUAGUUUGUUAUAUAAUUUACGUUAUAUAAGACUUCUUUAUUCGACAACUUGGUUUUACCAAGAGGAAGCGCCCCGCAAUAACAGGUCUGUGAUGCCCUUAGAUGUUCUGGGCUACACGCGCGCUACAAUGACGAAUUCAACGAGUUUCAAUUUAUUCCUUAUCCGGAAGGAUGUGGGUAAUCUUUUCAAUAUUCGUCGUGAUGGGGCCAGAUUUUUGCAAUUAUUAAUCUUCAACGAGGAAUCUCUAGUAUGUGCAAGUCAUCAGCUUGCGCAGAAUGCGUCCCUGCCCUUUGUACACACCGCCCGUCGCACCUACCGAUUGGACGAUCCGGCAAGAUGUUUGGAGUUGUUUUGAUUGUAGAGUAAUUUAUGAUGAAAAUGACAAAGCUCUUCAAACCUUAUCGUCUAGAGGAAGGUGAAGUCGUAACAAGGUC
This 1550-nucleotide ribosomal RNA is filed under the name metagenome. RNAcentral's name for it is "SSU rRNA". It matches the Rfam family "Eukaryotic small subunit ribosomal RNA", at positions 271 to 1801 of the family's 1831-position model. The record is from RNAcentral.